AAAACAACUCUCGGCAACGGAUAUCUCGGCUCUCGCAUCGAUGAAGAACGUAGCAAACUGCGAUACUUGGUGUGAAUUGCAGAAUCCCGUGAAUCAUCGAGUCUUUGAACGCAAGUUGCGCCCGAAGCCAUUAGGCCGAGGGCACGUCUGCCUGGGCGUCACGA
RNAcentral lists this ribosomal RNA (164 nucleotides) under Gentianothamnus madagascariensis. Its description in RNAcentral is "5.8S ribosomal RNA". It matches the Rfam family "5.8S ribosomal RNA". Rfam says of the family: 5.8S ribosomal RNA (5.8S rRNA) is a component of the large subunit of the eukaryotic ribosome. It is transcribed by RNA polymerase I as part of the 45S precursor that also contains 18S and 28S rRNA. Functionally, it is thought that 5.8S rRNA may be involved in ribosome translocation. The record is from RNAcentral. Lineage: Eukaryota; Viridiplantae; Streptophyta; Magnoliopsida; Gentianales; Gentianaceae.